UUUCUUCCUUGGAGAAGUGUCUACUCAGACAGGAAGUGUCUACUCAUUUCCUGUUGCUUUACAUCUUUAAGAAUGGUAUGUCUAUCAUUGGUUACAUGAGUCCAAAUUAAAAAGAAAAAAAAAAAACUAAUGACACUCUUCAUAGAAUAGAAAAAACAAUUGUAAAAUACAAAAACACAAAAGACCCAAUUAACAGAAAAAAAAUCUUGAGCAGAAUGAACAAUUAAAUUAAAGACAUCAUAAUUCAUGAUUUAAGACAUACUACAGAGCCAAAGCAACCAAAACAGCUGAGGAUUGGCAUAAAAACAGAUGCAAAGACUGGUGAAAAGCAGCAGCCAGAAAGAAAUCCACACACUGACAGCCAACUGACUCAACAAAGGUGUAGUAAUCCCGUAGGACUUCACAAAUGAUGUUGGGAAAACAGGAUGUCCACAUGUUGAAGACUGACACCUGAUCCCUCUCUUCCACCCUGUAUUCAAUCAUCACCCGCUAAUCAAAGACCUUAAUGUACGAUGUAAAGCUGAAAUUAUUGGAGGGAGACCUGGGGAGCAGUUCAGAAUAUUGGUACAGACAAUUAUUUUCCUGGAUAGGAUCCUAGCCUUGGAAACAAAAGCAAAAAUUGACAAAUGGUUUAUAUCAAAAUAAAAAGCUCUGCACAUCAAAGAAAUAAUCAGUAGAGUGAGAAGUCUCUACUGGAGAAAGUGCUAAGAAGGGCUGGGGUAUAGACUGGCAGUACAAUGCUUACUUAACAUGCACAAGGCUCUGAGUUCACUCUUCAGCACUGCACACACACAAAAUACAAAAUCAAAUAUUCUUCCCGUCAUCUCAAAGUGUUUGGUCUUAAGAACCACAAAAUAAGUUGAGUCCUUCUUGUGCCCUGGUCACUGCAUUUCCAUUCCAGGUGUAGAUAUCCACUUUAUUUUAUGAAAGAAAUCUCUGACUCAUGAUCUAUAAACAAAUACUCAUCGUGGUAUCCAAUACUCGGCGUGUCUGUUUUCUACAGGGACUUGUCUAAUAGCUUUGCACAUAUGUGAGCCAGUCAUAUGCCUUGGAGGUUUUAUUAUUUGCCCACACUGGAGAGAUGGUACCACUUAGGGUGAAUAGUGGGAGAGUGAAUGGCCACUGGCAAUGAUUGUACUCCAGUAGGAGAUCAAAGUGAAGACCAUUCUGGGAAACUGGGAUGUACAUUCACCCUACUCUAUGGAAUGUAAAUCUAGUCCUCAGAUAGGCUGUGUUCCUUUGUUUCCUUGAUGUAGGCCUCGGAUUACAGUUCCAGUGGUGGUCUGUGGUUUCCUAGGGGUCCCAUGUUGUUGGUGUUUAGAUUCCCUUUGUUCUCAAAGAUCUAGAAAAUCAUAAACAAUAUUUCCUGAGUUCUGGAAACCAGAGCCAGAAAUGCAUGUCAUCUUCUCGUGCCCUUCCAUCUUCCUAUCUGGAGGGAUAACUUGACACGCACCGUCUAUGACUCCCUGAAACGGAAAACAUGGGCGAAUGUGGACGGGAAACAGGAAGAAGCGGAAGGAUAUUUUUAAGCGUGUGUUUUAUGGUGUGAUGAUGGACGGCUUCGUUGGAGUGACAGCUGUCUACGGAAAAAGGAACUCUGGUUUCUUGUAAAGAGCACUGUGUGCCUCAAGGAAGACGAGGAAGGCAGCUUCCUGCAGACUUUUGAUUCUGGCUCCAGAGCUUCAGCAGCAUUCGCCGGUCUUCUUUCUAUACACACCUAAAGCUGGAGCUGGGGCAGCUGCAAGGCCAGGGCAAGCAAACAACGUGACAGAUGCAUAGAAUAAGGCAGCGCAAACAACGUGACAGAUGCAUAGAAUAAGGCAGCGCAAACAACGUGACAGAUGCAUAGAAUAAGGCAGUGCAUGCAUGAUGGCUCUUCCACAGAGACCACCUCAUGGUAUUUCUAUAAAAUCCACUGGGCUCUCUCAAUAAUUAUAGCUACAUGUAGAAUGAUCAAUUCCUCUGGCUGUCGUUAGGCCGACAUGAUAAAGAUUCACGAUAAACAUGAUAAAGAUUCAUAAAACUCACAACAGUACUGAAGGGAAUAGACUGAGUUUUCUAGAUAUUGCAUGCUAAAAAAUUAUGUAUGUACAUGCGUGCAUAUGUGUGGUCUUCUGGGAAUUUAAUUCUUUAGAAAUAUAACUGAGUGGAUUUUAUUCCUUAAUCGCCUUUUUUUAUAUUUGUUUACAGAGUAUCAUAAUUGAAUGUAACAGGGGAAAGAAACAUACAAUUCUCUUCCAGUUUUGUAUAUUUGCUACAUGAAUAUGAUAGUCCAUCCUCAACACCAAUAUUCUGCAUUAAUGUUUAAUGGGAAAAAAAUCUAUUAUUGGCUCACAGAUGUGCUUUGGAGUAAUACUUUACAAUUUCAAUAUUUUAUGAUUUUCUCAGCCAGGAAAUACGUGUGUAUUGUUCCUUCACCAUGUCCAAUUAGACUAUCAACUCUUGCUCCUCUUUUACCAAGAAGCUUGAUUUUCUAAGGUGCCCCACCAGGAGUAAAGGUUUAUUAAGUUUCAUUUAUGUGUUGUGAGAUAUGUGCUCAAGAGGAAAACAGAGUGUUGAACAGAUAGCUUUCUCUGGGGUGAAUAUGUAAAUAGUGCACUAUCGGAAUUCUUUUGCCAAGCAUGUUCCGGACUAGGUACAUUAUACAGGUUACUCUCAUAGAAAAAAAAAAAAAGGUUGGAAACUGGAAGGCACCAGGACCACCUUUUAAUCAUCACUCUUAUAAUAAAUCUAGUUUAAAAAUCACAA
Peromyscus maniculatus bairdii (prairie deer mouse) is the source of this 2748-nucleotide non-coding RNA. Lineage: Eukaryota; Metazoa; Chordata; Mammalia; Rodentia; Cricetidae. The record is from RefSeq and is a predicted model, not a curated record.